RNAcentral lists this long non-coding RNA (2263 nucleotides) under Manihot esculenta (cassava). RNAcentral's name for it is "long non-coding RNA (MESC_LNC005717)". Lineage: Eukaryota; Viridiplantae; Streptophyta; Magnoliopsida; Malpighiales; Euphorbiaceae. The record is from RNAcentral.
UCUCAUUAAUCAAAUGAAUAAUUUCAUCUUCAUGUCUUAUAAACAUGUACCCUUUACAUUUCAAUCUAGUGCAAUUAAAAUACAUUACCAAUUAAUUAUCAGCAGAAAAAAUGCUAUUAAAAAUAUCUUUAGAAAAGGGGGAACCAAUUUUGGUCAAUACUUCCAGGAAUCUCACACCACCAGAAAAAUUGACCUACACCAUAAUAUGUAGUGAUGCCUAUUUAUCACUCAAAUCAUACAAAGUGGGGAAAAAGUCCAACGCUGAGUUGGAGAUUCUAAACUAGGUGUGUAAACUGUAACGACCUCGAAAUCGGACCGCUAUCGGCGCUAGGAUCCAGAUCGACUUAAGGUCGCCGGGAACCGUAGCAAGCCUAACAUACAACCUGUAAUACCUGAUAAAUCCCAUACAUAAUCAUACAUUUACAUAAAAAUUUUAAACUUUCCAUAUACCAAACUUGACCUGUGCAUGCACUAUACUGUAAAUAUAAAAUCUCACACUAGAGCCAUCAUCAAAUGCUCUAGCGGGGUAACAUAUCAUAUGUCAAGCCUGGUUCAACAUAACUCAUCAUUAAAGCAUUUCCUAUAGAUCAUGUACAAAAGGGGAUUAACCAUACAUUAGGGUCAAACACAAUACUAAUCCUCGUUACAUUACUUUACAUUACAUCAUUUUACAUCUCAUAUCCACUGCUCAUCUAUUACAUAUCAAGUUUUUACCCUUACCCCCAGGUUUGCAGGUUCAGGAUAACACUCUGUAACGACCCGGAAACCGGACCGCUACCGGCGCUAAGAUCCAGAUCGACUUAAGGUCGCCGAGACCCAUAGCAAGCCUAACAUACAACCUGUAAUACCUGAUAAAUCCCAUACAUGAUCAUACAUUUACAUAAAAAUUUUAAACUUUCCAUAUACCAAACUUGACAUGUGCAUGCACUAUACUGUAAACAUAAAACCCCACACUAGAGCCCUCAUCAAAUGCUCUAGCGGGAUAACAUAUCAUAUGUCAAGCCUGGUUCAACAUAACUCAUCAUUAAAGCAUUUCCUAUAGAUCAUGUACAAAAGGGGAUUAACCAUACAUUAGGGUCAAGCACAAUACUAAUCAUCAUUACAUUACUUUACAUUACAUCAUUUUACAUCUCAUGUCCACUACUCAUCUAUUACAUAUCAAGCUUUUACCCUUGACGACUUCCCGAUCUAUCCUGAACCUGCAAACCUGGGAAACCGGACCGCUACCUAAACGAACCGAGCCGAACCGAGUUUUGAAGAACUCAAGCUUGGUUUGUUAAAAUUUUUUCGAAGUCGAGUUGAAUUCGAACUUUACUCAUUUCGAACUCGAGCCGAGUAUUAAGAAGCUCAAGCUCGGCUCGUUAGCAAACAAGCUUAGACGAGUCGAGCUUUUAAAUUUUAAUGAUCCAAAUAUAUGCAAAUUUAAGAGUAUAACUAAACUGUAUAAAGCUGAAUUUUAAAAAAUUUAGAUUUGGCUCGUGAAAGUAUAUGCAGGAUUUGAGUUUAUUUCUCUUAUAAUAAUAAUCUCAUUUUACUUAUCGAAACUGUUCACGUGUCUAUUCGCGAGCCUGCUCGUGAACUCAGAAACGAGCCGAGCUCAGGAGCCUUAACGAGCCGAAUAUAUGGAACUCAAGUUUAGCUCGUUUACCAAACGAGCCUGAAAAUUCAAACUGGGUCAAACUUUUAUUGAACAGCUCAAGAAGGAUUUGGUUCAUUUACGCUCCUAUUCUAAACCAAUACACAUAAAUAUUUCAAAAGCCAGCAAACUAACAAAAUAGAAUAGAGGUAAGUGCUGCUGAACUUAAUAACCGAGUUCCAGUAUUAUCACCGAGUUGCAAUACGUGUCAACAGCAUCACUUAAUUUCGUUUACUUCAACAAGGUCACUGUUUCUAAACUUUUUAGGACAUUUAGCCAAAUAAAUUUAACAUGUCUUUAGAUUAUAAACACCCUUAAUGUCAAUCCAACAAAGCUACACCCUACAAUUCACUAUGUCAAUUUAAAACAAUUACCAGAAAUUUCCCGGUUUGAUCUAAUAUGCCCUCAUGUCAAUUCAUUACAUAAUAAUUUCAGUAAAAUGCAAUUCUGGGGAGAAAAAUCAAAAACAGAAGAAGAAAUCAAAGAAUUAAAUCCAAAAUGUGCAAGGAGAAGACCUAAUACAUCAAAGCAGACUGAGUAAAGCUCAUUCACGAAAUUACAAAAAUCUCACAAAAAGAUCUUCAAUUUUAGUUUCUACUCAUUGAAAUUCAGCAGGAAAAAAGAAAA